GGGUUGUGAGGUUAAGCGACUAAGCGUACACGGUGGAUGCCCUGGCAGUCAGAGGCGAUGAAGGACGUGCUAAUCUGCGAUAAGCGUCGGUAAGGUGAUAUGAACCGUUAUAACCGGCGAUUUCCGAAUGGGGAAACCCAGUGUGUUUCGACACACUAUCAUUAACUGAAUCCAUAGGUUAAUGAGGCGAACCGGGGGAACUGAAACAUCUAAGUACCCCGAGGAAAAGAAAUCAACCGAGAUUCCCCCAGUAGCGGCGAGCGAACGGGGAGCAGCCCAGAGCCUGAAGACACGUGGUAUCCUGUCUGAAUAUGGGGGGACCAUCCUCCAAGGCUAAAUACUCCUGACUGACCGAUAGUGAACCAGUACCGUGAGGGAAAGGCGAAAAGAACCCCGGCGAGGGGAGUGAAAAAGAACCUGAAACCGUGUACGUACAAGCAGUGGGAGCACGCUUAGGCGUGUGACUGCGUACCUUUUGUAUAAUGGGUCAGCGACUUAUAUUCUGUAGCAAGGUUAACCGAAUAGGGGAGCCGAAGGGAAACCGAGUCUUAACUGGGCGUUAAGUUGCAGGGUAUAGACCCGAAACCCGGUGAUCUAGCCAUGGGCAGGUUGAAGGUUGGGUAACACUAACUGGAGGACCGAACCGACUAAUGUUGAAAAAUUAGCGGAUGACUUGUGGCUGGGGGUGAAAGGCCAAUCAAACCGGGAGAUAGCUGGUUCUCCCCGAAAGCUAUUUAGGUAGCGCCUCGUGAACUCAUCUCCGGGGGUAGAGCACUGUUUCGGCAAGGGGGUCAUCCCGACUUACCAACCCGAUGCAAACUGCGAAUACCGGAGAAUGUUAUCACGGGAGACACACGGCGGGUGCUAACGUCCGUCGUGAAGAGGGAAACAACCCAGACCGCCAGCUAAGGUCCCAAAGUCAUGGUUAAGUGGGAAACGAUGUGGGAAGGCCCAGACAGCCAGGAUGUUGGCUUAGAAGCAGCCAUCAUUUAAAGAAAGCGUAAUAGCUCACUGGUCGAGUCGGCCUGCGCGGAAGAUGUAACGGGGCUAAACCAUGCACCGAAGCUGCGGCAGCGAC
RNAcentral lists this ribosomal RNA (1078 nucleotides) under Escherichia coli. RNAcentral describes it as "bacterial LSU rRNA". It matches the Rfam family "Bacterial large subunit ribosomal RNA", at positions 1 to 1212 of the family's 2925-position model. Lineage: Bacteria; Pseudomonadati; Pseudomonadota; Gammaproteobacteria; Enterobacterales; Enterobacteriaceae. The record is from RNAcentral.